GUGGGGAAUAUUGCGCAAUGGCCGAAAGGCUGACGCAGCGACGCCGCGUGGGGGAUGAAGCAUUUCGGUGUGUAAACCCCUGUUGCCCGGGACGAACAACUGGUUUUGACCAGUCUGACGGUACCGGGUGAGGAAGCACCGGCUAACUCCGUGCCAGCAGCCGCGGUAAUACGGAGGGUGCGAGCGUUGUCCGGAAUCACUGGGCGUAAAGGGCGCGUAGGCGGUCUGCUAAGCGUGCGGUGAAAGCCUGGGGCUCAACCCCAGGUCGGCCGUGCGAACUGGUGGACUUGAGCACUGUAGAGGCAGGUGGAAUUCCGGGUGUAGCGGUGGAAUGCGUAGAGAUCCGGAAGAACACCGGUGGCGAAGGCGGCCUGCUGGGCAGUAGCUGACGCUGAGGCGCGACAGCGUGGGGAGCAAACAGGAUUAGAAACCCUGGUAGUCC
Molecule: ribosomal RNA, 442 nt
Filed under: uncultured bacterium
Lineage: Bacteria
Description: bacterial SSU rRNA
Rfam family: Bacterial small subunit ribosomal RNA
Source: RNAcentral